This 490-nucleotide ribosomal RNA is filed under the name uncultured bacterium. Its description in RNAcentral is "partial 16S ribosomal RNA". It matches the Rfam family "Bacterial small subunit ribosomal RNA", at positions 30 to 507 of the family's 1533-position model. The record is from RNAcentral.
AUUGAACGCUGGCGGCAGGCCUAACACAUGCAAGUCGAACGGUAACAGGAAGAAGCUUGCUUCUUUGCUGACGAGUGGCGGACGGGUGAGUAAUGUCUGGGAAACUGCCUGAUGGAGGGGGAUAACUACUGGAAACGGUAGCUAAUACCGCAUAACGUCGCAAGCCCAAAAAGGGGGACCUUCGGGCCUCUUGCCAUCGGAUGUGCCCAGAUGGGAUUAGCUGGUAGGUGGGGUAACGGCUCACCUAGGCGACGAUCCCUAGCUGGUCUGAGAGGAUGACCAGCCACACUGGAACUGAGACACGGUCCAGACUCCUACGGGAGGCAGCAGUGGGGAAUAUUGCACAAUGGGCGCAAGCCUGAUGCAGCCAUGCGGCGUGUAUGAAGAAGGCCUUCGGGUUGUAAAGUACGUUUAGGGGGGAGGAAGGGAGUAAAGUUAAUACCUUUGCUCAUUGACGUUACCCGCAGAAGAAGCACCGGCUAACUACGUG